This 253-nucleotide ribosomal RNA is filed under the name uncultured bacterium. Its description in RNAcentral is "partial 16S ribosomal RNA". It matches the Rfam family "Bacterial small subunit ribosomal RNA", at positions 524 to 776 of the family's 1533-position model. The record is from RNAcentral.
CACGUAGGGUGCGAGCGUUGUCCGGAAUUAUUGGGCGUAAAGAGCUCGUAGGCGGUCUGUCGCGUCUGCUGUGAAAUCUCAGGGCUUAACCCUGAGCUUGCAGUGGGUACGGGCAGACUAGAGUGCGGUAGGGGAGACUGGAAUUCCUGGUGUAGCGGUGAAAUGCGCAGAUAUCAGGAGGAACACCGGUGGCGAAGGCGGGUCUCUGGGCCGUAACUGACGCUGAGGAGCGAAAGCAUGGGGAGCGAACAGG